UGUUGCAUAUUUUAGUUGUUUUUUUGUUUGUUUUUAUGUUCUGUGGUAUAUUUUGAGUGUUCUGUGGUAUAUUAUAUGUGUUCUGUGGUAUAUUUUUAGUGUUCUGUGGUAUUCUGUGGUAUUCUGUGGUGUUCUGUGGUAAAAAGACGCUCCGCUUCCUCCGUACAGGCGUGUUGACAGAUAUCCAUGAAGAUUUAAGUCACGGAGCAGUGGUUUCAUCUUUGUCGUCUUCACAACGAUUUGUAGAAAAUAUGCCAUACUUAAAGCUGCUGUCGAAUUAUUUAACCACUGAAAUUGGUUCCAUAAAGUCAGGCUCCACAGAUUCUGAACCCGAUUUGUUUGAGACAGAAUGGUUAUCGUGUCAGUUAUGAAUAUCCGCUGCGUUAUCGUCAAUGAUUUCAUCACACAUCAUUACAUGUGCCUGAAUCUGUAAAAACAGUUUACUAAUAAACUUUUUUGUUUGUUAGUUGUCUUAAAAUUGACACGAGACGACAGCUUAAAGUACUCCUCCGUUACUUCAUGGAUACCUGUAAACAAUUUCCAUGUGCUUUAUCAUUAAAUGGUCACAUGAACGCUUGACGGGAGGCUAAGAAAAACCGAAAUUGAAACGCGUAAUUGACCCAGACUUUAAAUCAUUUCCGGAAAGGACCCAAAGUUCCGGAUCGUGUCAAAAGAGGUAUUAAAAAAAAUUUCUUCAAAUUUAAAGCAAUAAAAUUUUCACAGUCGGGAGGAUUUUCAAGGGUCGGUCGGUAAACUGCAAACAAACAAUAUUUUAAUUUAAGCCCUAGAAGUCUAAAUAUUAUACUAUUUACCAUGAUUACUGAAAUUAUGUCGUCUACAAAUAGGGCAAUUUUGAUUCAUCCAGUUAGCUAAAAUGGUAAUGACCCUUAAAAUCAUCCAAUGAUCUUUUGAGAUCACCAGCAGCCACACGUUGAUUAAAUUUUUUUAUACAAUGGGUUUGGAAAGGGAUAAAUUUCCAUAGAAUUAGAGAAAUGUAUAUAUUGUAUAUUUAUCAGUCAGAGCUCUGAGUCAGACAUAAUAUAAGUCUAAAUCUGCAUUUGACUCGUAGAGGUCUAAGGCAGCAACCAUUUGAUUUUCGGGGGGGGGGGGAUGGUUAUUUUUGGAAAAAAAAGUUUGUUUCCAGGUUUUGGUGAAAAAAAUAAUUUUUUAUGCACCCUGAGAAAAAAAAUUGUUUGUUUCACCCUCAGCUAGCCUGCCACUGUAUGUAAUGCUAAAAUUAAAAGAAAAAAAAUGAUUUCGGUUUGUCGCAAAAAAAAUAGAUUGUACUUCGCUAAAGGCGAAAAAAAGGUUUUCACAGAAAAAAAACCCAUAGCCCCCCCCUUUCCAAGAAAAUCAAAUGGUUGCUGCCUAAAUUUGUAAGUUUUUGGAUUUGUCUCCCUUUAUGCCUAAAUUUAUAAGUUUUUGGAUUUGUCUCCCUUUAAUGCAAGACAAAAUACGACUUUAAUAAGUCAAAUAUUGUUAAGCAAGAAAUAACUGACCAGAAUCAAAAAUUUGCAAACUUAUCGACUCCUACAAGUCAGUAAGUUAUCAAAAUUGGUUCACUUCAAGACCCACCCCUACUAAUAUAAAAAGGUCACUCAUCUAAAUGAAAUAAUGACAACAUUGAAAAACAAUGCUUUGUCUUCUAAAGAAAAAUAUGAAUGAGAGUCUAAAAAAUCGGAGAUAAUGUUACUUAACCUUACAAUGCAACCACCCGGAGCCACACCUAAUGAGGUAGAACAUCUGUGUUUAGUAAGGAUGUUCAAUUGGAUAUUUAAAUAUAGGUAGCUCAAGUCCUUGUGAACUCUCAGGCAGGUUUUUGCUGUAAUAGGUGGUGUACUUUGGCCACCAAGUCAAAGUAAGUUUUUUCAUCAACAUAAAUAGACCUUAACAAGUCUGUCAUUUUCUGACUUAGAUGAGUCUAAAAUUGAAAAUAUUUUUUUUGAUAAAUACAUGUUUGGACUUCUGUUAGUCAAAAUCAAAAAUCGACUUGUUUAUGUCUGAGCUCUG
RNAcentral lists this long non-coding RNA (2010 nucleotides) under Mytilus galloprovincialis (Mediterranean mussel). The record is from RNAcentral. Lineage: Eukaryota; Metazoa; Mollusca; Bivalvia; Mytilida; Mytilidae.